ACGCUCGACACCUACGGAGGCAGCAGUGGGGAAUAUUGCACAAUGGGGGAAACCCUGAUGCAGCGACGCCGCGUGAGCGAAGAAGUAUUUCGGUAUGUAAAGCUCUAUCAGCAGGGAAGAUCAUGACGGUACCUGACUAAGAAGCUCCGGCUAAAUACGUGUCAGCAGCCGCGGUAAUCUGAGCGGGCUGGCAAGGC
RNAcentral lists this ribosomal RNA (197 nucleotides) under uncultured bacterium. Its description in RNAcentral is "partial 16S ribosomal RNA". It matches the Rfam family "Bacterial small subunit ribosomal RNA", at positions 328 to 539 of the family's 1533-position model. The record is from RNAcentral.